UGAUGUCUGAUUGUUGGAGUGUGCCUCUGGCUAUAGGUAAAUGAUGUCUGAUUGUUGGAGUGUGCCUCUGGCUAUAGGUAAAUGAUGUCUGAUUGUUGGAGUGUGCCUCUGGCUAUAGGUAAAUGAUGUCUGAUUGUUGGAGUAUGCCUCUGGCUAUAGGUAAAUGAUGUCUGAUUGUUGGAGUGUGCCUCUGGUUAUAGGUAAAUGAUGUCUGAUUGUUGGAGUGUGCCUCUGGCUAUAGGUAAAUGAUGUCUGAUUGUUGGAGUGUGCCUCUGGCUAUAGGUAAAUGAUGUCUGAUUGUUGGAGUGUGCCUCUGGCUAUAGGUAAAUGAUGUCUGAUUGUUGGAGUGUGCCUCUGGUUAUAGGUAAAUGAUGUCUGAUUGUUGGAGUGUGCCUCUGGCUAUAGGUAAAUGAUGUCUGAUUGUUGGAGUGUGCCUCUGGCUAUAGGUAAAUGAUGUCUGAUUGUUGGAGUGUGCCUCUGGCUAUAGGUAAAUGAUGUCUGAUUGUUGGAGUGUGCCUCUGGUUAUAGGUAAAUGAUGUCUGAUUGUUGGAGUGUGCCUCUGGCUAUAGGUAAAUGAUGUCUGAUUGUUGGAGUGUGCCUCUGGUUAUAGGUAAAUGAUGUCUGAUUGUUGGAGUGUGCCUCUGGUUAUAGGUAAAUGAUGUCUGAUUGUUGGAGUGUGCCUCUGGCUAUAGGUAAAUGAUGUCUGAUUGUUGGAGUGUGCCUCUGGUUAUAGGUAAAUGAUGUCUGAUUGUUGGAGUGUGCCUCUGGCUAUAGGUAAAUGAUGUCUGAUUGUUGGAGUGUGCCUCUGGCUAUAGGUAAAUGAUGUCUGAUUGUUGGAGUGUGCCUCUGGCUAUAGGUAAAUGAUGUCUGAUUGUUGGAGUGUGCCUCUGGUUAUAGGUAAAUGAUGUCUGAUUGUUGGAGUGUGCCUCUGGCUAUAGGUAAAUGAUGUCUGAUUGUUGGAGUGUGCCUCUGGUUAUAGGUAAAUGAUGUCUGAUUGUUGGAGUGUGCCUCUGGCUAUAGGUAAAUGAUGUCUGAUUGUUGGAGUGUGCCUCUGGCUAUAGGUAAAUGAUGUCUGAUUGUUGGAGUGUGCCUCUGGUUAUAGGUAAAUGAUGUCUGAUUGUUGGAGUGUGCCUCUGGCUAUAGGUAAAUGAUGUCUGAUUGUUGGAGUGUGCCUCUGGCUAUAGGUAAAUGAUGUCUGAUUGUUGGAGUGUGCCUCUGGUUAUAGGUAAAUGAUGUCUGAUUGUUGGAGUGUGCCUCUGGCUAUAGGUAAAUGAUGUCUGAUUGUUGGAGUGUGCCUCUGGCUAUAGGUAAAUGAUGUCUGAUUGUUGGAGUGUGCCUCUGGCUAUAGGUAAAUGAUGUCUGAUUGUUGGAGUGUGCCUCUGGCUAUAGGUAAAUGAUGUCUGAUUGUUGGAGUGUGCCUCUGGCUAUAGGUAAAUGAUGUCUGAUUGUUGGAGUGUGCCUCUGGCUAUAGGUAAAUGAUGUCUGAUUGUUGGAGUGUGCCCCUGGCUAUAGGUAAAUGAUGUCUGAUUGUUGGAGUGUGCCCCUGGCUAUAGGUAAAUGAUGUCUGAUUGUUGGAGUGUGCCUCUGGCUAUAGGUAAAUGAUGUCUGAUUGUUGGAGUGUGCCUCUGGCUAUAGGUAAAUGAUGUCUGAUUGUUGGAGUGUGCCCCUGGCUAUAGGUAAAUGAUGUCUGAUUGUUGGAGUAUGCCUCUGGCUAUAGGUAAAUGAUGUCUGAUUGUUGGAGUGUGCCUCUGACUAUCUGUAAAUGAUGUCUGAUUGUUGGAGUGUGCCUCUGGCUAUAGGUAAAUGAUGUCUGAUUGUUGGAGUGUGCCUCUGGCUAUAGGUAAAUGAUGUCUGAUUGUUGGAGUAUGCCUCUGGCUAUAGGUAAAUGAUGUCUGAUUGUUGGAGUGUGCCUCUGGCUAUAGGUAAAUGAUGUCUGAUUGUUGGAGUGUGCCUCUGGCUAUAGGUAAAUGAUGUCUGAUUGUUGGAGUAUGCCUCUGGCUAUCUGUAAAUGAUGUCUGAUUGUUGGAGUGUGCCUCUGGCUAUAGGUAAAUGAUGUCUGAUUGUUGGAGUGUGCCUCUGGCUAUAGGUAAAUGAUGUCUGAUUGUUGGAGUGUGCCCUUGGCUAUCUGUAAAUGAUGUCUGAUUGUUGGAGUGUGCCUCUGGUUAUCUGUAAAUGAUGUCUGAUUGUUGGAGUGUGCCUCUGGCUAUAGGUAAAUGAUGUCUGAUUGUUGGAGUGUGCCCCUGGCUAUAGGUAAAUGAUGUCUGAUUGUUGGAGUGUGCCUCUGGCUAUAGGUAAAUGAUGUCUGAUUGUUGGAGUGUGCCUCUGGCUAUAGGUAAAUGAUGUCUGAUUGUUGGAGUGUGCCUCUGGCUAUAGGUAAAUGAUGUCUGAUUGUUGGAGUGUGCCUCUGGCUAUAGGUAAAUGAUGUCUGAUUGUUGGAGUGUGCCUCUGGCUAUAGGUAAAUGAUGUCUGAUUGUUGGAGUGUGCCCCUGGCUAUAGGUAAAUUAUGUCUGAUUGUUGGAGUGUGCCUCUGGCUAUAGGUAAAUGAUGUCUGAUUGUUGGAGUGUGCCUCUGGUUAUAGGUAAAUGAUGUCUGGUUGUUGGAGUGUGCCUCUGGUUAUCUGUAAAUGAUGUCUGAUUGUUGGAGUGUGCCUCUGGCUAUCUGUAAAUGAUGUCUGAUUUUUGGAGUGUGCCUCUGGUUAUCUGUAAAUGAUGUCUGAUUGUUGGAGUGUGCCCCUGGCUAUAGGUAAAUGAUGUCUGAUUGUUGGAGUGUGCCCCUGGCUAUAGGUAAAUGAUGUCUGAUUGUUGGAGUGUGCCUCUGGCUAUAGGUAAAUGAUGUCUGAUUGUUGGAGUGUGCCCCUGGCUAUAGGUAAAUGAUGUCUGAUUGUUGGAGUGUGCCUCUGGUUAUAGGUAAAUGAUGUCUGGUUGUUGGAGUGUGCCUCUGGUUAUCUGUAAAUGAUGUCUGAUUGUUGGAGUGUGCCUCUGGCUAUCUGUAAAUGAUGUCUGAUUGUUGGAGUGUGCCUCUGGUUAUCUGUAAAUGAUGUCUGAUUGUUGGAGUGUGCCUCUGGCUAUCUGUAAAUGAUGUCUGAUUGUUGGAGUGUGCCUCUGGGUAUCUGUAAAUGAUGUCUGAUUGUUGGAGUGUGCCCCUGGCUAUAGGUAAAUGAUGUCUGAUUGUUGGAGUGUGCCUCUGGCUAUAGGUAAAUGAUGUCUGAUUGUUGGAGUGUGGCCCUGGCUAUAGGUAAAUGAUGUCUGAUUGUUGGAGUGUGCCUCUGGUUAUAGGUAAAUGAUGUCUGAUUGUUGGAGUGUGCCCCUGGCUAUCUGUAAAUGAUGUCUGAUUGUUGGAGUGUGCCCCUGGCUAUCUGUAAAUGAUGUCUGAUUGUUGGAGUGUGCCUCUGGUUAUCUGUAAAUGAUGUCUGAUUGUUGGAGUGUGCCUCUGGUUAUAGGUAAAUGAUGUCUGAUUGUUGGAGUGUGCCUCUGGCUAUAGGUAAAUGAUGUCUGAUUGUUGGAGUGUGCCUCUGGCUAUCUGUAAAUGAUGUCUGAUUGUUGGAGUGUGCCUCUGGCUAUAGGUAAAUGAUGUCUGAUUGUUGGAGUGUGCCUCUGGCUAUAGGUAAAUGAUGUCUGAUUGUUGGAGUGUGCCUCUGGCUAUAGGUAAAUGAUGUCUGAUUGUUGGAGUGUGCCUCUGGCUAUAGAUAAAUUAUGUCUGAUUGUUGGAGUGUGCCUCUGGCUAUAGGUAAAUGAUGUCUGAUUGUUGGAGUGUGCCUCUGGCUAUAGGUAAAUGAUGUCUGAUUGUUGGAGUGUGCCUCUGGCUAUAGGUAAAUGAUGUCUAAUUGUUGGAGUGUGCCUCUGGCUAUAGGUAAAUGAUGUCUGAUUGUUGGAGUGUGCCUCUGGUUAUCUGUAAAUGAUGUCUGAUUGUUGGAGUGUGCCUCUGGUUAUCUGUAAAUGAUGUCUGAUUGUUGGAGUGUGCCUCUGGCUAUAGGUAAAUGAUGUCUGAUUGUUGGAGUGUGCCUCUGGCUAUCUGUAAAUAUUAUUUAAAAACAGAUUGGGGUUGACAGGUGGUUCAGGCCUCAAUAUAACUCACUGCGGACCUGGACAUGACCCCUGGACAUGACCCCUGGACAUGACCCACUGCUUGGUUUGGAUUAUGGGACUUGGAACUCUGGCUGUCAUUGAACUUAAUUUAACUGGACGCCCUUUAGAACCAUGUUGUAAACUUGUGAAUGUGGAAUAUGUCGUGUUGUGCACAGAAACAACAUGUUUUACAUUGUCAAUGUCCACAGCUCUGUUGAUUAUUUACUUUCAAAUAAACUUCCGAAUGGAUCAACAUUUUCUCUGUCAUCUCAAUGUCCGCAAUUCAGUGUAUUCCUCUUAUGAGUUUCUGUCCCACGGCACAGAUGUAGACUCUUAAUUGGAUCACUCUGAUGUCACAGAGAAUUGUAGUGUGUCCAAGGUUUAAAAAUGAAAGCAUCUGGUAUUACCUGUGAUUCUUGGAGUGGGGUGAAUUUUUGUGUUUACAAGCUGCAUGGGAGACUAGUCACAACACUUCCACUGAACUGAGUUGAUUCCUGUCAUAGUGAUUUCAUAGUAAUACCAUAGUGAUCUCAUGGUGAUGGCAUAGUGAUGUCAUAGUGAUGCCAUAGUGAUCUCAUAGUGAUGGCAUAGUGAUGCCAUAGUAAUGCCAUAGUGAUCUCAUAGUGAUGGCAUAGUGAUGUCAUAGUGAUGCCAUAGUGAUCUCAUAGUGAUGGCAUAGUGAUGCCAUAGUAAUGCCAUA
Molecule: long non-coding RNA, 4764 nt
Organism: Oncorhynchus keta (chum salmon)
Lineage: Eukaryota; Metazoa; Chordata; Actinopteri; Salmoniformes; Salmonidae
Exons: 5
Source: RefSeq, a predicted model, not a curated record